This is a long non-coding RNA of Electrophorus electricus (electric eel), 1050 nucleotides long. RefSeq lists it as uncharacterized. The record is from RefSeq and is a predicted model, not a curated record. Lineage: Eukaryota; Metazoa; Chordata; Actinopteri; Gymnotiformes; Gymnotidae.
AGUAAUGAAUAGCCUCCACGGUGCACUAGGAGCGGGGAGCAGCCUGGAGUUUCAGAGCUAGCAGGCAGGCCACCCAGAGAGCGAGUGAACGUCUUAUGACGUCCUCCAAGUUGCCCUCUCUACAUUCCUCCCUCUCUCUCCCCCUCCCUGUCUACAUUCUUUCUUUCCUUUAUAUCUCUCUCUCUGAGGGUUUUUGCUGCUCAGUAAUUAUUCAUCGCAGUAAUGAUGGCAAUGUUAAUGCACAGCAGGAACGGGGCCUCCGGCACCUCAUAACCUCGUCAUACUGGGCUUGCCUUAGGAAUUGUAAGAGAGGCAGAAGCUGUGCAAUGUGUUGGGUCUUUGCUAAAAUGGUGCACCUAACUAUAUUAUCCAUCCAGAUGCCUCAGGAAUGCCAGCUCUUUCACAGGACCGAUCCACAGUGCCAAACCAUGCGACCGAACCACAGGACUGACCCACAGGACUGAGUCAAAGGGAAUUAAAAAUAAUGUUAGGAGGUAAUUUUGAAUGAUUCUGCCCAAGAUUUUAUGAUACAAUAUCCUGGAGUAUCUUUAGCAAAUGGGUCAUCUCACCACAGCCUUCUUUUCUGACAUCCGCUAUCAAACCCAAUAAUGCCUCCUCCUGACGCAACACCUUGGCCUUGAUUCAGCCUCUCAGUUUGUAUAAUGUUUAACAAUCUACCGAGACAAUGUGGAUGCCGACAUUGUCCAUACCACAAACAUAACCUUAUAUUUAAUCAUAAUCAUCUAUUUAAUCAUAGUAUGCUCAGAAUACAUUUAUACCAGUAUAAGUUUGUUUAACCAUGGAUGCUAUUUAUACACACACACACAGACCACUGAAUUAAUACUUCUGUUCUGUUUGGUAUUUGUCCAUCUGGUUGUCUUGAGCACAGAUGCACUGGCGUGCUGUCCAACUCCAGUAGCGUCCUCUUUUAUACUAUGUGAAGCUAUAAUUUGUAGUCCAUUAUUAUGAGUGUAUUUUAUGUUCUUUUUUGCUUACUGUAGCCCUAGAAUUUGUCCCCUGGGAUCAUUAAAGUAUAUCUACAUUUAUCUA